GUUCUGCUCCAGAUUAACCUGAGCACCCAGAGGCAUGCAUUCCUCUCUUCCAAUUCCUGACAUUUCUUGAGGCUCCCCUGGGGUACAGGAAUUUGCUCUCGAGUGCUUUCUUGGAUCCAUGUUCCAACUCAUAUUCCCAGGACUCCCAGCUAUGCCUCUGCAUCAGGCUGGGCCUCCUCCAGCGGCCUAACCCUGUAGAGGGUGCUGCAGGCAGGGGAGACCAAGGUUCCUGGGGCAUUUUCCUCCUCCCCACCCUCGUGUUAGCUGUUGACCCAGGGGCCUGAGAGCUAUAUCUGAGGUGGGUUAGUUGCUUCAGUUGUAUCUGACUGUUUGCAACCCCAUGGAUUGUAGCCCACCAGGCUCCUCUGUCCAUGGGAUUUCCCAGGCAAGAAUACAAGGGUUGGUUGCCAUUUCCUCCUCCAGGGGAUCUUCCCAACCUGGGGAUUGACCCAGGUCUCCUGCAUUGCAGGCAGAUUUUUUACUGUCUGAGCCACCAGGGAAGCCCUCCAUAUCCGAGAUGGGAUUUGGCAAACUUGAGUUGAUUGUUUUAGUUUGGCCCCUUAGCUGACCCCCAGUGCAAAGAUGAACUUUUUUUGCAGUCAUUUUAUUGCCUGGGAUAAAUAUUGCUGUUGAUUUUUCAUGGCUGAUAACAGCUCAGCUUGAGUGUGGCUAGCUGGAACUGGGGGUGUGGAACACAAGGAGUUGUUUGAGAGAGAAUGAAAGUGAGGAUUUGCCACUUGAUUUUCUCGAUGGAGGCCUUCUCACUGUUAAGGGAGAGAGAGACACACACUUUGACAGAGGUGGCAGCCCCUGGGCAGAGACUAGAGGAGCUGUGCAUAGUAAGAGGUCCAUGGAAAUGCAGUGGUCCCUGUUGCCUGGCAUCUGCUGUUGGCUCCAUCAGAUACCUACAGCUCCCAAAGAAUGAGUCAUUCCUCCCCAGCAUAUAAAAAAGGGAUGAAUCAGAACUCAGUUUAGAUCUUGGCUUUGCCACUUAUUAGCUGUGUGACCUUGGGCAAGCACACAACUUUUCUGUGCCUCAGUGUCGUCGUCUAUAAUAAGGAAAUAAGCAGACCUACUUCAAAAGAUGCCUGGAGGAGGAAGUUUCUGGCCCACGGAGGGCUGUCAGUGAAUAUGUUCCAGCUCAGCUAAUUGCCUCGUCUUCCAUCUGCAGCUCCUUCCCCACAAUCUUCAGGAAGGUUGAUCUGAUAAAUCCAUAGAGAAGGUAGAGACAGAGGAAAAGAAAGGUCAGGGUCAGGAUGCUUGCUGAGAGCAAGACGCACAGAAAGAGGAGCAGCUCCUGGCUGGCCAGGAAGUAGCCGAGCUGGCCUUGACGCACCAAGCUUCUCCCCUCUCAUGGGAGCUGCGCCAGCUCUGCCUGGCAUGCUCAUCCAGUCAUUCCACCUACAACCAUCCUGUAUGCUCACCCGUGCACUGCGCCUGCUCCAGAGGGCACCUCUCCCUCCUUCACGUCUUUCUCAUGGAUUACAGUCUACGGCCGACCAGCUGCUGCUGCUGCUGCUGCUAAGUCGCUUCAGUCGUGUCCGACUCUGUGCAACCCCAUAGACAGCAGCCCACCAGGCUUCCCUGUCCCUGGGAUUCUCCAGGCAAGAACACUGGAGUGGGCUGCCAUCUCCCUCUCCAAUGCAUGAAAGUGAGAAGUAAAAGUGAAGUCACUCAGUCGUGUCUGACUCUUAGCGACCCCAUGGACUGCAGCCUACCAGGCUCCUCCUUCCAUGGGAUUUUCCAGGCAAAAGUACUGGAGUGGGGUGCCAUUGCCUUCUCCGUUUUUCCAAAGCAUAAUAUAUUUAUUUCAAAGAAAUAUAGUAAGGUGAUUAAUAAGAAAUGCUCUUGUAGUAAAACUAUUACAUUGGGAUAAAAUUCUGUGGGGAGGAAGUAUAUGGA
This is a long non-coding RNA of Bos taurus (domestic cattle), 1902 nucleotides long. Lineage: Eukaryota; Metazoa; Chordata; Mammalia; Artiodactyla; Bovidae. The record is from Ensembl.